RNAcentral lists this ribosomal RNA (444 nucleotides) under uncultured bacterium. Its description in RNAcentral is "partial 16S ribosomal RNA". It matches the Rfam family "Bacterial small subunit ribosomal RNA", at positions 339 to 795 of the family's 1533-position model. The record is from RNAcentral.
CUACGGGUCGCUCCAGUGGGGAAUAUUGCACAAUGGGCGCAAGCCUGAUGCAGCAACGCCGCGUGAGGGAUGAAGGCAUUCGGGUUGUAAACCUCUUUUAGCAGGGAAGAAGCGAAAGUGACGGUACCUGCAGAAAAAGCACCGGCUAACUACGUGCCAGCAGCCGCGGUAAUACGUAGGGUGCAAGCGUUGUCCGGAAUUAUUGGGCGUAAAGAGCUCGUAGGCGGUUUGUCACGUCUGCUGUGAAAAUACAAGGCUCAACCUUGGACUUGCAGUGGGUACGGGCAGGCUAGAGUGCGGUAGGGGAGAUGGGAAUUCCUGGUGUAGCGGUGGAAUGCGCAGAUAUCAGGAGGAACACCAAUGGCGAAGGCACAUCUCUGGGCCGUAACUGACGCUGAGGAGCGAAAGCGUGGGGAGCGAACAGGAUUAGAUACCCUGGUAGUC